AUUGAACGCUGGCGGAAUGCUUUACACAUGCAAGUCGAACGGUAGAGGGGGCAACCCCUUGAGAGUGGCGAACGGGUGAGUAAUAUAUCGGAACGUGCCCAGUCGUGGGGAUAACGUAGCGAAAGUUACGCUAAUACCGCAUACGAUCUAAGGAUGAAAGCGGGGGAUCGCAAGACCUCGCGCGAUUGGAGCGGCCGAUAUCAGAUUAGGUAGUUGGUGAGGUAAAGGCUCACCAAGCCGACGAUCUGUAGCUGGUCUGAGAGGACGACCAGCCACACUGGGACUGAGACACGGCCCAGACUCCUACGGGAGGCAGCAGUGGGGGAAUUUUGGACAAUGGGCGCAAGCCUGAUCCAGCAAUGCCGCGUGCAGGAUGAAGGCCUUCGGUUGGUAACU
RNAcentral lists this ribosomal RNA (396 nucleotides) under uncultured bacterium. Its description in RNAcentral is "bacterial SSU rRNA". It matches the Rfam family "Bacterial small subunit ribosomal RNA", at positions 30 to 431 of the family's 1533-position model. The record is from RNAcentral.